AUCCACCUAAGGUAUGAUUUGCCCCUCCUUGCCUUCUGCCAUGCUUGUGAGGCCUCCCCAGCCACGUGAAACUAGCCUGAUUAAUUUUGAGACAUGAGCUUUGGACUCAGACCUGAGCUGGACUCUUGCUUCGCUUCACUUCACUGAGCUGCGUGGGCUUGGAGGGAUGUUAAACGACGCUUAAACGGGGGCGCACGGUGACAGAUGCGGCCCCGGCACAGCGGCACUGGCGUUGAGAUUCCACAUCAGCAUCGGUGGGAACCUGGGAGAACUAUUGCGCCUUUUGCAGACCCAGCCUGGAUUCUAUUUUUAGUUUUCUAAUCCUGUAAUACUCUUUCCUAGGGAUCUGCAUCCAAUAUCCUUGAAGUAUCAAAAUUUGCUUCCUCUGAAAUGAAUGGAUAUAAAAUAUACUGUUAGUAUUAUAACAACUGAAAUCAACAAGUUAC
Molecule: long non-coding RNA, 446 nt
Organism: Pan troglodytes (chimpanzee)
Lineage: Eukaryota; Metazoa; Chordata; Mammalia; Primates; Hominidae
Exons: 3
Source: RefSeq, a predicted model, not a curated record